UGUGUGUGUCUGUGCUGGACGGGCCGCAGUCAGGAGAGCUGCUCCUCUCAAAGGACCUAGACCUUGUUGUUCUCUCCGUUGGACACCGGAGAACCAGGAGAAGACGAUUGCCUGCAAGCAGGAGAUACUUUGGUUGUAAUAGCAGUCAACCAGGAUGCAGAACAAUCCCACACAUUCAAUACAGCUGAACCAACCCAAGCCCUUACAAAUCAUCAAAAUCUGUUACAGAGUCCUGGGGAUGACCUGACAUUAUCACAUCUAAUCUCGGAAUCCUUUCAUACGCCUGCCACACCUGCCACAUCCAGAAGCAACACGGAGGACAUGGUCUCCCUUCAGCGUGAGCUUUUGGGGGAAGUAAAAAUGCUGAGGAUUACUCAGGAGCAACUUCUGAAGGUGGAGAGGGAAAAGCUGCUCGUCGAGAGGGAGAAGCUUCGCCUUGCCCAAGCCAAGUUUGAUUUAAAAAAAAUUGAAUGUUGAACCUAGAAUAAAAUAGCAAUCACUCAUAGAGGUUUUCAUGUGUUGUUUAUUGUGUUUUUUUUUCACAUGAAUCUCCUCCUUAUGAGGUCUUGUCUCACUUGCAUGCCAGUGUUACAUGGGGCAGGGACUGGGACAUCUCCCUCGGGGUCAUCAUCAUCUGGGAUGUCAGGGAUUGGCAAGCGGUACAUAAUGCAGAUGUUGUGGAGGAUAAAAACACAGGUAAUAAUUUUA
Molecule: long non-coding RNA, 708 nt
Organism: Gadus chalcogrammus (walleye pollock)
Lineage: Eukaryota; Metazoa; Chordata; Actinopteri; Gadiformes; Gadidae
Exons: 3
Source: RefSeq, a predicted model, not a curated record